AUGCAAGGGAGAUUGAGGGGUCAGUGCUGGCUGGUUAUGAUGCCCGUGGGAUCCAACAGAGAGAAGGUGAUCAAUUCUCAUAUUCUCUGAAGACUGGAGUUGAUCAUCUCAGUGUGAAGAAAAUGUUCCAAUUAACUAUGAAACCCUCAAAAGCUCCUCUACUGAAAUGUCUAUGGCCCUGAAAGUAAUCAAUGAUUAGAACUACAAAGGGAAGCAAAGAAGAUCAUGAAACAAGAGGGAGAAGC
This is a long non-coding RNA of Ficedula albicollis (Collared flycatcher), 245 nucleotides long. RefSeq lists it as uncharacterized. The transcript has 3 exons. The record is from RefSeq and is a predicted model, not a curated record. Lineage: Eukaryota; Metazoa; Chordata; Aves; Passeriformes; Muscicapidae.